GCAAGUCGAGCGGAAACGAUGUAGCUUGCUACAGGCGUCGAGCGGCGGACGGGUGAGUAAUGCUUAGGAAUCUACCGAGUAGUGGGGGAUAGCCAUUGGAAACGAUGAUUAAUACCGCAUACGCCCUACGGGGGAAAGCAGGGGAUCUUCGGACCUUGCGCUAUUUGAUGAGCCUGAGUGAGAUUAGCUAGUUGGUGGGGUAAAGGCCUACCAAGGCGACGAUCUCUAGCUGGUCUGAGAGGAUGAUC
Molecule: ribosomal RNA, 248 nt
Filed under: uncultured bacterium
Lineage: Bacteria
Description: partial 16S ribosomal RNA
Rfam family: Bacterial small subunit ribosomal RNA
Source: RNAcentral